Molecule: long non-coding RNA, 652 nt
Filed under: Capra hircus (goat)
Lineage: Eukaryota; Metazoa; Chordata; Mammalia; Artiodactyla; Bovidae
Description: lncRNA (ENSCHIG00010027115.1)
Source: RNAcentral
UUUCAGUUAAUGUCACUUAUAAACAAACAGAAGGGAAACUUUCAUCCUCUCCUUCCUCACUACUGACUGCAUUGUGGAAAAUUAUUAUUUUAUAACUAAAAGAACUUAAAUAAACCUAACUCCCUGUAGUUUUUGUAACAUACAUUACAUGCAAGGUAUCUGAAAGAAAAGAAGUCUGAAUUUAGGCUUUGUCUAUACUUAAGUGGUAAAAAGCAUUACUAGUAGGAACCAAAAAAGGUUUGGCUACAAACUGUAUUCUUGGUAAUGUUUCUAAAUGCAUUCUGUUAAUGUUAAAAUUUCUAACAUACACAUUUAAUUUCUUAUGUGUAAGUUUUUUAAGAAAAAUGUCUUCUUCAGGUAUUACAUGCUUGCUGCUUUUCAUAUAAUUCCAUAUUAAUUUUCAAAAAUAAAGUUAUUUCUAGGAAAACUAAUCACUAUGUUUAUUUAGCCACAUUUGACUCCUUUAAUUCUAGCCUCUUUUUUUCCUCCUGGAGCACAAAUUCCAGGAAUACAGGAAAGUUUGGUGUAUUACUUUUUAAUUUUUGUCCAAGUGAACUUUUAAAAGUAAAUGACUGUUGUUAUGUUUUAAUCCAUCACUCCACACUUACUGAGAUGAGCUCUUUUACGUGGUAGGCAGCAUAAAAAGCACUGG